UACAGAGGUGGCAAGCGUUGUUCGGAAUUACUGGGCGUAAAGGGCGCGUAGGCGGCCAUCUAAGUCAGACGUGAAAUCCCCCGGCUUAACCUGGGAACUGCGUCUGAUACUGGACGGCUCGAGUUUGGGAGAGGGAUGCAGAAUUCCAGGUGUAGCGGUGAAAUGCGUAGAUAUCUGGAGGAAUACCGGUGGCGAAGGCGGCAUCCUGGACCGACACUGACGCUGAGGAGCGAAAGCCAGGGGAGCAAACGGG
Molecule: ribosomal RNA, 253 nt
Filed under: uncultured bacterium
Lineage: Bacteria
Description: partial 16S ribosomal RNA
Rfam family: Bacterial small subunit ribosomal RNA
Source: RNAcentral